RNAcentral lists this ribosomal RNA (433 nucleotides) under uncultured bacterium. RNAcentral's name for it is "partial 16S ribosomal RNA". It matches the Rfam family "Bacterial small subunit ribosomal RNA", at positions 29 to 507 of the family's 1533-position model. The record is from RNAcentral.
AACGAACGCUGGCGGCAUGCCUAACACAUGCAAGUCGAACGAGACCUUCGGGUCUAGUGGCGCACGGGUGCGUAACGCGUGGGAACCUGCCCUUAGGUUCGGAAUAACUCCCCGAAAGGGGUGCUAAUACCGGAUAAUGUCUUCGGACCAAAGAUUUAUCGCCUUUGGAUGGGCCCGCGUUGGAUUAGCUAGUUGGUAGCGUAAAAGCCUACCAAGGCGACGAUCCAUAGCUGGUCUGAGAGGAUGAUCAGCCACACUGGGGCUGGGACACGGCCCGGACUACUACGGGAGGCAGCAGUGGGGAAUAUUGGACAAUGGGCGAAAGCCUGAUCCAGCUAUGCCGCGUGAGUGAUGAAGGCCUUAGGGUUGUAAAGCUCUUUUACCCGGGAUGAUAAUGACAGUACCGGGAGAAUAAGCUCCGGCUAACUCCGUG